UGGCGGACGGGUGAGUAACGCGUGGGUAACCUGCCUCACACUGGGGGACAACAGUUAGAAAUGACUGCUAACACCGCAUAAGCGCACAGGACCGCAUGGUCCGGUGUGAAAAACUCCGGUGGUGUGAGAUGGACCCGCGUUUGAUUAGCUAGUUGGUGGGGUAACGGCCUACCAAGGCGACGAUCAAUAGCCGACCUGAGAGGGUGACCGGCCACAUUGGGACUGAGACACGGCCCAA
This 238-nucleotide ribosomal RNA is filed under the name uncultured bacterium. RNAcentral describes it as "partial 16S ribosomal RNA". It matches the Rfam family "Bacterial small subunit ribosomal RNA", at positions 96 to 334 of the family's 1533-position model. The record is from RNAcentral.